ACUCAAAGGAAUUGACGGGGACCCGCACAAGCGGUGGAUGAUGUGGAUUAAUUCGAUGCAACGCGAAGAACCUUACCUACCCUUGACAUGUGAGGAACGCUCUCGAGAGGGGGCGGUGCCCGAAAGGGAACCUCAACACAGGUGCUGCAUGGCUGUCGUCAGCUCGUGUCGUGAGAUGUUGGGUUAAGUCCCGCAACGAGCGCAACCCUUGUCACUAGUUGCUACGAAAGGGCACUCUAGUGAGACUGCCGGUGACAAACCGGAGGAAGGUGGGGAUGACGUCAAGUCCUCAUGGCCCUUAUGGGUAGGGCUUCACACGUCAUACAAUGGCGCAUACAAAGGGUUGCCAACCUGCGAGGGGGAGCCAAUCCCAGAAAGUGCGUCGUAGUCCGGAUUGUUCUCUGCAACUCGAGAGCAUGAAGUCGGAAUCGCUAGUAAUCGCGGAUCAGCAUGUCGCGGUGAAUACGUUCCCGGGUCUUGCACACACCGCCCGU
RNAcentral lists this ribosomal RNA (494 nucleotides) under uncultured bacterium. RNAcentral describes it as "partial 16S ribosomal RNA". It matches the Rfam family "Bacterial small subunit ribosomal RNA", at positions 899 to 1397 of the family's 1533-position model. The record is from RNAcentral.